CAGGUACAGCGGGAAGCCACCUGGCGACAGGGAGCGGAACCCGAAAGCCUGUCUCAGUUCGGAUUGGAGUCUGCAACCCGACUCCAUGAAGCUGGAUUCGCUAGUAAUCGCGCAUCAGCCAUGGCGCGGUGAAUACGUUCCCGGGCCUUGUACACACCGCCCGUCAAGCCAUGGGAGCCGGGGGUGCCUGAAGUACGUGACCGCGAGGAGCGUCCUAGGGCAAAACUGGUGACUGGGGCUAAGUCGUAACAAGGUAUC
Molecule: ribosomal RNA, 258 nt
Filed under: uncultured bacterium
Lineage: Bacteria
Description: partial 16S ribosomal RNA
Rfam family: Bacterial small subunit ribosomal RNA
Source: RNAcentral